GUAGUCAAGAUGAGAAUUCUAAGGUGAGCGAGCGAACUCUCGUUAAGGAACUCGGCAAAAUGACCCCGUAACUUCGGGAGAAGGGGUGCUCUUUGAGGUUCACGCUUCGAAGAGCCGCAGUGAAUAGGCCCAAGCGACUGUUUAUCAAAAACACAGGUCUCUGCUAAACCGUAAGGUGACGUAUAGGGGCUGACGCCUGCCCGGUGCUGGAAGGUUAAGAGGAGUGGUUAGCGCAAGCGAAGCUACGAAUCGAAGCCCCAGUAAACGGCGGCCGUAACUAUAACGGUCCUAAGGUAGCGAAAUUCCUUGUCGGGUAAGUUCCGACCCGCACGAAAGGCGUAACGAUUUGGGCACUGUCUCAACGAGAGACUCGGUGAAAUCAUAGUACCGGUGAAGAUGCCGGUUACCCGCGACAGGACGGAAAGACCCCGUGGAGCUUUACUGUAGCCUGAUAUUGAAAUUCGGUACAGUUUGUACAGGAUAGGUAGGAGCCUUAGAAGCGUGAGCGCUAGCUUACGUGGAGGCAUUGGUGGGAUACUACCCUAAUUGUAUUGGAUUUCUAACCCGCAGCACUUAUCGUGCUGGGAGACAGUGUCAGGCGGGCAGUUUGACUGGGGCGGUCGCCUCCUAAAGAGUAACGGAGGCGCUCAAAGGUUCCCUCAGAAUGGUUGGAAAUCAUUCAUAGAGUGUAAAGGCAUAAGGGAGCUUGACUGCGAGACCUACAAGUCGAGCAGGGUCGAAAGACGGACUUAGUGAUCCGGUGGUUCCGCAUGGAAGGGCCAUCGCUCAACGGAUAAAAGCUACCCCGGGGAUAACAGGCUUAUCUCCCCCAAGAGUUCACAUCGACGGGGAGGUUUGGCACCUCGAUGUCGGCUCAUCGCAUCCUGGGGCUGUAGUCGGUCCCAAGGGUUGGGCUGUUCGCCCAUUAAAGCGGUACGCGAGCUGGGUUCAGAACGUCGUGAGACAGUUCGGUCCCUAUCCGUCGUGGGCGUAGGAAAUUUGAGAGGAGCUGUCCUUAGUACGAGAGGACCGGGAUGGACAUACCUCUGGUGUACCAGUUGUCGUGCCAACGGCAUAGCUGGGUAGCUAUGUAUGGACG
RNAcentral lists this ribosomal RNA (1099 nucleotides) under Staphylococcus pseudintermedius. RNAcentral's name for it is "partial 23S ribosomal RNA". It matches the Rfam family "Bacterial large subunit ribosomal RNA", at positions 1663 to 2761 of the family's 2925-position model. The record is from RNAcentral. Lineage: Bacteria; Bacillati; Bacillota; Bacilli; Caryophanales; Staphylococcaceae.